GAUGGACGCUGGCGGCGUGCCUAACACAUGCAAGUCGAACGGACAAGGGGGAGCUUGCUCCCCCGCGUUAGUGGCGGACGGGUGAGUAACGCGUGAGCAACCUGCCUUUCAGAGGGGGAUAACAUUGGGAAACCGGUGCUAAUACCGCAUGAUGUGUCUUGAUCGCAUGGUCUUGAUACCAAAGGAGCAAUCCACUGAAAGAUGGGCUCGCGUCUGAUUAGAUAGUUGGUGAGGUAACGGCCCACCAAGUCGACGAUCAGUAGCCGGACUGAGAGGUUGAACGGCCACAUUGGAACUGAGACACGGUCCAG
RNAcentral lists this ribosomal RNA (311 nucleotides) under uncultured bacterium. Its description in RNAcentral is "bacterial SSU rRNA". It matches the Rfam family "Bacterial small subunit ribosomal RNA", at positions 28 to 334 of the family's 1533-position model. The record is from RNAcentral.